ACACGCAUGACACACUGCAUAUCAAUAAGCGGAGGAAAAGAAACUAACAAGGAUUCCCCUAGUAACGGCGAGUGAAGCGGGAAGAGCUCAAAUUUGAAAUCUUAAAGGGUUUCCCUUUACGAAUUGUAGUUUAAAGAAGUGUUUUCUGUUGGAGUUUCGGUAAAAGUUCUUUGGAAUAGGACAUCAUAGAGGGUGAGAAUCCCGUAUUUGAUCGUUACUUUCCAGCUGUGUGAUACACUUUCAAAGAGUCGGAUUGUUUGGGAAUGCAGUCCAAAAUGGGUGGUAAACUUCAUCUAAAGCUAAAUAUUGGCGAGAGACCGAUAGCGAACAAGUACCGUGAGGGAAAGAUGAAAAGAACUUUGAAAAGAGAGUUAAACAGUACGUGAAAUUGUCAAAAGGGAAGCGUUUGACACCAGUGUUGUUUAGUUGAAAAUCAAUUCAAUAAUUUUUGAUUUUAAGUAGUAUUGACUUCAUCAGCUUGCUGCUUUCUUUUCAGGAAUUAUUGAAUGCACUUUUCAGUUAACAAGUCAACAUCCAUUUCUUUUGUUGUAAAAGGGUAAGAGGAAGGUGGCUUACGCUUUGGCGUAAGUGUUUAUAGCCUUUUACCUCUGCAAUCGGAGAGAUUGAGGACAGCAGCGUAGACUCUUCGGGGUUAGAUACACUUGUGCUAAGCUAUAGCCUUGUAUAGACAACUUGUUGACUAUGCUCAGUCAUGUAGCUUACUCGCUUGUGCUAUUUUACCUACGCUUAGGAUGUUGAGCGCAUGUCUCUCUCU
RNAcentral lists this ribosomal RNA (775 nucleotides) under uncultured Neocallimastigales. RNAcentral's name for it is "partial large subunit ribosomal RNA". It matches the Rfam family "Eukaryotic large subunit ribosomal RNA", at positions 23 to 616 of the family's 3401-position model. Lineage: Eukaryota; Fungi; Neocallimastigomycota; Neocallimastigomycetes; Neocallimastigales. The record is from RNAcentral.